GCAGCCGUAGCUCAGCUGGAGAGAGCGUUGGCCUCCGAAGCCAAAGGUCGUGCGUUCGAGUCGCACCGGUUGCACCA
This 77-nucleotide transfer RNA is filed under the name Bacillota bacterium. Its description in RNAcentral is "tRNA-Arg". It matches the Rfam family "tRNA". Rfam says of the family: Transfer RNA (tRNA) molecules are approximately 80 nucleotides in length. Their secondary structure includes four short double-helical elements and three loops (D, anti-codon, and T loops). The record is from RNAcentral. Lineage: Bacteria; Bacillati; Bacillota.